GAAAUGCGAUAAUUAAUGUGGAUUGCAGAAUUCAGUGAAUCAUCGAGUCUUUGAACGCACAUUGCGCCCCCUGGUAUUCCGGGGGGCAUGCCUGUCCGAGCGUCAUUGCUGCCCUCAAGCACGGCUUGUGUGUUGGGCUUCCGUCCCUGGCAACGGGGACGGGCCCAAAAGGCAGUGGCGGCACCAUGUCUGGUCCUCGAGCGUAUGGGGCUUUGUCACCCGCUCCCGUAGGUCCAGCUGGCAGCUAGCCUCGCAACCAAUCUUUUUAACCAGGUUGACCUCGUAUCAGGUAGGGAUACCCGCUGAACUUAAGC
RNAcentral lists this unclassified non-coding RNA (314 nucleotides) under plant metagenome. RNAcentral describes it as "partial contains 5.8S ribosomal RNA, internal transcribed spacer 2, and large subunit ribosomal RNA". The stretch from base 1 to 105 matches the Rfam family "5.8S ribosomal RNA", at positions 50 to 154 of the family's 154-position model. The record is from RNAcentral.